Molecule: long non-coding RNA, 366 nt
Organism: Empidonax traillii (willow flycatcher)
Lineage: Eukaryota; Metazoa; Chordata; Aves; Passeriformes; Tyrannidae
Exons: 3
Source: RefSeq, a predicted model, not a curated record
GUGUAGCGAAUUGGGUACCCGGCUUUCCUGAUCUGGAUGGUCUCCAUCAUCCCCGAGUAUCGCAGCUGUUUGAUGCACAGCUCCCGGUCGAACAACUGACGGGGAAAGCACACAAGGAGGAGACUUAGCCCUGUAAGAAGUUACAGGGCAAGGCUGCCCUCCAGUGAUCAAAGACUUGUCUUUGGCAAACAGCUCCUGGGAAUGUCUUGUCACAGCCCAGAUGCCUCUUGGGGCUAACAAGCAUCUGAAGUAGGAUGUUUACCUGUCCAUGGCCAGGUGAUCUGGACAGCAGAAAGCCACACUGGGACAAAGACAGAGGAAGAAAGAACAGGAUCAGAAAACAAUGCCAGGAGAAUAGAAGAUAAG